RNAcentral lists this ribosomal RNA (673 nucleotides) under uncultured bacterium. RNAcentral describes it as "bacterial SSU rRNA". It matches the Rfam family "Bacterial small subunit ribosomal RNA", at positions 107 to 762 of the family's 1533-position model. The record is from RNAcentral.
UGAGUAACACGUGGGGAACCUGCCCCUAAGUCUGGGAUACCAUUUGGAAACAGGUGCUAAUACCGGAUAAUAAAGCAGAUCGCAUGAUCAGCUUUUGAAAGGCGGCGUAAGCUGUCGCUAAGGGAUGGCCCCGCGGUGCAUUAGCUAGUUGGUAAGGUAACGGCUUACCAAGGCGACGAUGCAUAGCCGAGUUGAGAGACUGAUCGGCCACAUUGGGACUGAGACACGGCCCAAACUCCUACGGGAGGCAGCAGUAGGGAAUCUUCCACAAUGGACGCAAGUCUGAUGGAGCAACGCCGCGUGAGUGAAGAAGGUUUUCGGAUCGUAAAGCUCUGUUGUUGGUGAAGAAGGAUAGAGGUAGUGACUGGCCUUUAUUUGACGGUAAUCAACCAGAAAGUCACGGCUAACUACGUGCCAGCAGCCGCGGUAAUACGUAGGUGGCAAGCGUUGUCCGGAUUUAUUGGGCGUAAAGCGAGCGCAGGCGGAAAAAUAAGUCUAAUGUGAAAGCCCUCGGCUUAACCGAGGAACUGCAUCGGAAACUGUUUUUCUUGAGUGCAGAAGAGGAGAGUGGAACUCCAUGUGUAGCGGGUGGAAUGCGUAGAUAUAUGGAAGAACACCAGUGGCCGAAGGCGGCUCCUCUGGGUCUGCAACUGACGCUGAGGCUCGAAAGCAU